RNAcentral lists this ribosomal RNA (468 nucleotides) under uncultured bacterium. RNAcentral describes it as "partial 16S ribosomal RNA". It matches the Rfam family "Bacterial small subunit ribosomal RNA", at positions 28 to 507 of the family's 1533-position model. The record is from RNAcentral.
GACGAACGCUGGCGGCGUGCUUAACACAUGCAAGUCGAACGGAAAGGCCCUGCUUUUGUGGGGUGCUCGAGUGGCGAACGGGUGAGUAACACGUAAGUAACCUUCCCUUGCCUUUGGGCUACCUUCAGGAAACUGGGAUUAAUACCGGAUAGGAGUUCCUGCUGCAUGGGGGGGGUUGGAAUGUUUCGGCGGUUGGGGAUGGACUCGCGGCUUAUCAGCUUGUUGGUGGGGUAGUGGCUUACCAAGGCUUUGACGGGUAGCCGGCCUGAGAGGGUGACCGGCCACAUUGGGACUGAGAUACGGCCCAGACUCCUACGGGAGGCAGCAGUGGGGAAUAUUGCACAAUGGGCGGAAGCCUGAUGCAGCAACGCCGCGUGCGGGAUGACGGCCUUCGGGUUGUAAACCGCUUUCGCCUGUGACGAAGCGUGAGUGACGGUAAUGGGUAAAGAAGCACCGGCUAACUACGUG